Molecule: long non-coding RNA, 489 nt
Filed under: Elaeis guineensis (African oil palm)
Lineage: Eukaryota; Viridiplantae; Streptophyta; Magnoliopsida; Arecales; Arecaceae
Description: long non-coding RNA (EGUI_LNC072576)
Source: RNAcentral
CCCUCUCUCUUCCUUCUCUUCUCUAUCAAAGCUCUUUCCAUCAAGCCAAUGCCUAAGUUUCUCUCCAAGCUACUGCCCCCAUCUCUCUUUCUUCUUUAUAAGUCUAAGAAAGGUACUAACCCUAGCACGACACCAUAUUCUUUCAUAGAUCCAUUCUCCACAUCCCAAGAAGUCUAAGGGAGGUUCUAACCCUAGCACGCCUUCCAUCAAAUUCAGAAGAGAUUCUAAUCCUAAUACCGCUAUCCUACUCUCUUCUUGAUAGAAAAUAGGGUAGGCAGUAUGUGUCGAUUUUAAAAUUUUGAAAACAUGUAGCGAAAAAUAAAUCAGAUUAAAUCCUUUAACCCCACAUGCAAGAUACCAGAUCUAAACCUAUCCAAGCCCAGAAGAAAGCACAUAUAAUUAAUCUGAAAUUUAAAAAAAAAUAUGAGAUCAUAUCUCAUUACCUUUGCAUGGGUAGAAAUUCAUCGCUUCAGAUGAUCUCAGAUUCAU